AGGACGAACGCUGGCGGCGUGCCUAACACAUGCAAGUCGAGCGAAGCUGCUCUAAAACUUCGGUUUAAGGGUAGACUUAGCGGCGGACGGGUGAGUAACCCGUGGGUAAUCUACCUGGAAGCCUGGGAUAACAGUUCGAAAGGGCUGCUAAUACCGGAUGAAGCCAUUAGCGUAAGUUAAUGGUCAAAGCGUUAAGUAGCGUUUUCAGAUGAGCCCGCGUCCCAUUAGCUAGUUGGUAGGGUAAAGGCCUACCAAGGCGACGAUGGGUAGCCGGUCUGAGAGGAUGGUCGGCCACACUGGGACUGAGACACGGCCCAGACUCCUACGGGAGGCAGCAGUGGGGAAUUUUGCGCAAUGGGGGCAACCCUGACGCAGCGACGCCGCGUGAGUGAAGAAUGCCUUCGGGUUGUAAAGCUCUGUCUAGGGGGAAGAUAGUGACGGUACCCCUGGAGGAAGCCCCGGCUAACUACGUGCCAGCAGCCGCGGU
This 487-nucleotide ribosomal RNA is filed under the name uncultured bacterium. RNAcentral's name for it is "bacterial SSU rRNA". It matches the Rfam family "Bacterial small subunit ribosomal RNA", at positions 26 to 521 of the family's 1533-position model. The record is from RNAcentral.